This 776-nucleotide ribosomal RNA is filed under the name uncultured bacterium. Its description in RNAcentral is "bacterial SSU rRNA". It matches the Rfam family "Bacterial small subunit ribosomal RNA", at positions 74 to 845 of the family's 1533-position model. The record is from RNAcentral.
GGGGGCUUGCUCCCGGGUUAGUGGCGAACGGGUGAGUAAUAUAUCGGAACAUAUCCGGAAGUGGGGGAUAACGUAGCGAAAGUUACGCUAAUACCGCAUAUGCCCUGAGGGGGAAAGGGGGGGAUCGCAAGACCUCUCGCUUUCGGAGUGGUCGAUACCGGAUUAGCUAGAUGGUGAGGUAAAGGCUCACCAUGGCGACGAUCCGUAGCUGGUCUGAGAGGACGACCAGCCACACUGGAACUGAGACACGGUCCAGACUCCUACGGGAGGCAGCAGUGGGGAAUUUUGGACAAUGGGCGAAAGCCUGAUCCAGCCAUACCGCGUGAGUGAAGAAGGCCUUCGGGUUGUAAAGCUCUUUCAGCCGGAAAGAAAUCGCACUUUUUAAUACGGAGUGUGGAUGACGGUACCGGAAGAAGAAGCACCGGCUAACUACGUGCCAGCAGCCGCGGUAAUACGUAGGGUGCGAGCGUUAAUCGGAAUUACUGGGCGUAAAGCGUGCGCAGGCGGUUUGAUAAGCCAGAUGUGAAAUCCCCGGGCUUAACCUGGGAACUGCAUUUGGAACUGUCAGACUAGAGUGUAGCAGAGGGGGGUAGAAUUCCACGUGUAGCAGUGAAAUGCGUAGAUAUGUGGAGGAAUACCAAUGGCGAAGGCAGCCCCCUGGGUUAACACUGACGCUCAUGCACGAAAGCGUGGGGAGCAAACAGGAUUAGAUACCCUGGUAGUCCACGCCCUAAACGAUGUCAACUAGUUGUUGGGGGAGGAGACUUCCCUUAGUA